AUGAAUGAUGUCAUUCUUUCGCACGAACUCACAGAAAUAUCUUCCUACGAAGCGCGUUCUUCGUACACUGUUGUUUUCUUUUGACUUCGGAACAACAAAGAAUUUCUACUACAGAAACAUGUCAUAAAGACAAAUAAUAGCGGUAUAUGUGGCGACAACUGCCUUUUGAAUGUGUCAAAUCUUCCACAGAGAUGUAGCAUGAUCGACGUUUCCAGUUUCAUCAUGGGAUUUUAUCGGCUUCAGAUACUCGUUUUUUUUUUUUCUUAACACAUUCUACAGCUAUCUUCUGUGCAAGGAUUUCACAAUCAUAACCGUCGAAAUAUGAUGUAACUGUCAAGAGUCCAAGAGAUGCUACACAUCAUGAUCCGAUCUGGUUGAAGACACGAACCCACAUCUGUAGGCUGACUCUCCAUCAUUAUUACAACCUGAAGAAGUCGUUAUUCAAAGAGAGAAACUAAAUUUAAUUUGUAGCAGACACUGAGACCGGUCUACGACCAGUAACUUUCCCAUGACAUUCUUACCUUCUUU
This is a long non-coding RNA of Octopus bimaculoides (California two-spot octopus), 528 nucleotides long. RefSeq lists it as uncharacterized. NCBI's taxonomy places the organism in Eukaryota, Metazoa, Mollusca, Cephalopoda, Octopoda, Octopodidae. The record is from RefSeq and is a predicted model, not a curated record.